This 576-nucleotide ribosomal RNA is filed under the name uncultured bacterium. RNAcentral describes it as "bacterial SSU rRNA". It matches the Rfam family "Bacterial small subunit ribosomal RNA", at positions 102 to 674 of the family's 1533-position model. The record is from RNAcentral.
ACGGGUGAGUAAUACAUCGGAACGUAUCCUGGAGUGGGGGAUAGCCCGGCGAAAGCCGGAUUAAUACCGCAUACGCUCUGAGGAGGAAAGCGGGGGACCUUCGGGCCUCGCGCUCAAGGGGCGGCCGAUGGCGGAUUAGGUAGUUGGUGGGGUAAAGGCCUACCAAGCCGACGAUCCGUAGCUGGUCUGAGAGGACGACCAGCCACACUGGGACUGAGACACGGCCCAGACUCCUACGGGAGGCAGCAGUGGGGAAUUUUGGACAAUGGGGGCAACCCUGAUCCAGCAAUGCCGCGUGUGUGAAGAAGGCCUUCGGGUUGUAAAGCACUUUUGUCCGGAAAGAAAUCAUCGGGGCCAAUACCCCUGGUGGAUGACGGUGCCGGAAGAAUAAGCACCGGCUAACUACGUGCCAGCAGCCGCGGUAAUACGUAGGGUGCGAGCGUUAAUCGGAAUUACUGGGCGUAAAGCGUGCGCAGGCGGUGCUGUAAGACCGAUGUGAAAUCCCCGGGCUUAACCUGGGAACUGCAUUGGUGACUGCAGCGCUGGAGUAUGGCAGAGGGGGGUGGAAUUUCACGU